CCUACGGGGGGCAGCAGUGGGGAAUAUUGCACAAUGGGCGCAAGCCUGAUGCAGCCAUGCCGCGUGUGUGAAGAAGGCCUUCGGGUUGUAAAGCACUUUCAGCGGGGAGGAAGGCGGUGAGGUUAAUAACCUCAUCGAUUGACGUUACCCGCAGAAGAAGCACCGGCUAACUCCGUGCCAGCAGCCGCAGUAAUACGGAGGGUGCAAGCGUUAAUCGGAAUUACUGGGCGUAAAGCGCACGCAGGCGGUCUGUCAAGUCGGAUGUGAAAUCCCCGGGCUCAACCUGGGAACUGCAUUCGAAACUGGCAGGCUAGAGUCUUGUAGAGGGGGGUAGAAUUCCAGGUGUAGCGGUGAAAUGCGUAGAGAUCUGGAGGAAUACCGGUGGCGAAGGCGGCCCCCUGGACAAAGACUGACGCUCAGGUGCGAAAGCGUGGGGAGCAAACAGGAUUAGAUACCCGAGUAGUC
RNAcentral lists this ribosomal RNA (465 nucleotides) under uncultured Klebsiella sp. RNAcentral's name for it is "bacterial SSU rRNA". It matches the Rfam family "Bacterial small subunit ribosomal RNA", at positions 338 to 795 of the family's 1533-position model. Lineage: Bacteria; Pseudomonadati; Pseudomonadota; Gammaproteobacteria; Enterobacterales; Enterobacteriaceae. The record is from RNAcentral.